Long non-coding RNA from Pantherophis guttatus, 468 nucleotides. RefSeq lists it as uncharacterized. Lineage: Eukaryota; Metazoa; Chordata; Lepidosauria; Squamata; Colubridae. The record is from RefSeq and is a predicted model, not a curated record.
GCUUCUGCGCAUCACAGAAGCUUCCCCACAUGCGCAGAAUCGGCCCCGCUGCGAACCGGUAGUAAAGGUGGAUUGAAGAAGCUGGAGACAGGCUUCAGACAACAGCUCUUCAUUCAGCAACUAUUUACAAUCCAGCAGCCAGCCACUCAAACAGCCUGGGAAACCAGCCAAUCACAUUGUCUGGGAAACCAGCCAAUCACAUUUAAGGAUUCUUCCCGCUCAAACAGUGGACCAGAGGGAAAACUAUCCUGUCAAUAUCUAACAGUCCUUAUCAAGAUUCUUCAGGCAUAGAUACCUUCUUUACUAGAUGUUCUAUGUUCAACUUUAACAGGAUUUAAACAUGCCUUGCACCUGAUGACUUUAUAAUACAUUUAACUUUAAAGUUAUACUGACCUGACUGUCAGUAGCUUGCGGGAAGGGAAGUUUUGUAUGCAGGUAUCCCAUUAAAGAUAUGUUGGAAGAAAUGUC